Molecule: ribosomal RNA, 253 nt
Filed under: uncultured bacterium
Lineage: Bacteria
Description: partial 16S ribosomal RNA
Rfam family: Bacterial small subunit ribosomal RNA
Source: RNAcentral
UACGGAGGGUGCAAACGUUGCUCGGAAUCAUUGGGCGUAAAGCGCACGUAGGCGGCCUGUUAAGUCGGAUGUGAAAGCCCCGGGCUCAACCUGGGAAUUGCAUUCGAGACUGAAUAGCUAGGGUACGGUAGAGGGAAGUGGAAUUUCCGGUGUAGCGGUGAAAUGCGUAGAUAUCGGAAGGAACAUCAGUGGCGAAAGCGACUUCCUGGACCAGUACCGACGUUCAGGCACGAAAGCGUGGGGAGCAAACAGG